This is a non-coding RNA of Agelaius phoeniceus (red-winged blackbird), 546 nucleotides long. The record is from RefSeq and is a predicted model, not a curated record. Lineage: Eukaryota; Metazoa; Chordata; Aves; Passeriformes; Icteridae.
GCCACGCUUUAAAGCCGUGUGCCGCCAUGGUUUUAUUGUCACUCCCCUAGCCCGUUUGUACACUGCGUGGAGAGCGGUCCCGCUGCUCGGUCCCCUCAGAAGGCGCCCGGGCCCCACCAGGACCCUGGGGCCUUGCUAUACACUCAGACUGCACACGCAGUGAGGGAGAAUAUACAGCAAAUGCAAAGUGAGAAGUCCUUCCUGUCUGCAUGCUGGACUCGGGUGUAGCUGUGCUGGAUCAACAGCAGAAGCCAGAACCUCCUGCCAGGUGUGCCACAGAGCUGCUCACAGCACAGUAAAGGGAAGGAAAGUUUAACUGAGAUUUCAUCUUCCUUCCUUUUAUUGUUUGUUCUCUGUCUUGCUGUAUUGGUGUAGUCACACUGAGUGUGUGCUAUUCUGCCAGAUACCAUUUAGGCAGGAAUUCAGAGUUCUAGAUCUCUGGAAAUGUCAGUAUGAGCUAAAUAAAAUGUUUCAGCUUUGAAAAUAACGAAUGAUUCGAACCCAUUUGAGUUCCCAGAAAUGUCUUGAGUGAGCACUGGAGCAGAC